RNAcentral lists this ribosomal RNA (476 nucleotides) under Meteoridium remotifolium. Its description in RNAcentral is "eukaryotic LSU rRNA". The stretch from base 1 to 125 matches the Rfam family "5.8S ribosomal RNA", at positions 29 to 154 of the family's 154-position model. Lineage: Eukaryota; Viridiplantae; Streptophyta; Bryopsida; Hypnales; Brachytheciaceae. The record is from RNAcentral.
UGCAUCGAUGAAGAACGCAGCGAAAUGCGAUACCUAGUGUGAAUUGCAGAAUUCCGCGAAUCAUCGAGUCUUUGAACGCAAGUUGCGCCCGAGGCUUGUCCGAGGGCAUUUCCGCUAGAGCGUCACCGCGCCCCCCCACCGAUCCGCACUCCCGCCGCGAGGCGAUGGUGCACGAGGGUCGAGUGGAUGUGGCCGUCCCGGCGGGCCUCCGCGAGGAGGCCGAGUGCGAAAGAGGGUCGGCUGAAAUGGAUGGAAUCGGGCCGCCGUGGUGACACAGUCCGCGAUCGGGUGACUUUUUCGCGAGCCUCCUCCGGGAGGGUCGGCGUGAAUUUUUCGGAGUGCGUGGCUGCGUCCCCCAGUUGGCUUCGGUGUUGCCUCGUGCAGGUCGAGCGCGCCUCCCGAGGCGCGCGUCACGCAUCAGACCUCUAAUCGGAAAAGACCACCCGCUGAGUUUAAGCAUAUCAAUAAGCGGAGGA